RNAcentral lists this ribosomal RNA (459 nucleotides) under uncultured bacterium. RNAcentral describes it as "partial 16S ribosomal RNA". It matches the Rfam family "Bacterial small subunit ribosomal RNA", at positions 338 to 795 of the family's 1533-position model. The record is from RNAcentral.
CCUACGGGAGGCAUCAGUGAGGAAUAUUGGUCAAUGGCCGGAAGGCUGAACCAGCAAAGCCGCGUGAAGGACGAAGGUGCCAAGCAUUGUAAACUUCUUUUGUCAAGGGACAAAAUCAGGCUCGAGAGCCUGACCGCGGGUACUUGAAGAAAAAGCAUCGGCUAACUCCGUGCCAGCAGCCGCGGUAAUACGGAGGAUGCGAGCGUUAUCCGGAUUUAUUGGGGUUAAAGGGUGCGUAGGCGGAAGGUUAAGUCAGCGGUAAAAGCCCGGGGCUAAACCCCGUCGAGCCGUUGAAACUGGCUGUCUUGAGAUGUCGAGAGGUAUGCGGAAUGCGCAGUGUAGCGGUGAAAUGCUUAGAUAUUGCGAAGAACUCCGAUUGCGAAGGCAGCAUACCGGCGGCGAUCUGACGCUGAGGCACGAAAGCGUGGGUAUCGAACAGGAUUAGAUACCCGGGUAGUC